This 579-nucleotide long non-coding RNA is filed under the name Elaeis guineensis (African oil palm). Its description in RNAcentral is "long non-coding RNA (EGUI_LNC074481)". Lineage: Eukaryota; Viridiplantae; Streptophyta; Magnoliopsida; Arecales; Arecaceae. The record is from RNAcentral.
UCUUUUGGAUAUUCAUUCUUUAAUGGGCUCCUUCUAUUGUGCAUUUGCAUUUGAGGAGAUGUGAUCUGAUAAAAAACAGGCUGGACGGAAGAUGAGGUAAGCUCCUAAGUACAUGCGAUGUCUUAUAGGGAUUUUAUCAAUUAAUUUAUUAGUAAAAUUAGAUCUCUUGUUUCCUUUUUCUCAUUAUUUGUGCUCUUUGAAGUGAAUUUGUCCAUUCAUAUAUGAUGUUGUUGAAAAGAAGUCAUACUCCAUGCAUGUGAUUACAAAAAUAGAUUAGCUCUUCAUAUUGUUACGUGGGGCUCUCAAAUUUUCUAACCAUGCAAAUACAUGUAAACUAUUUCAGUUAAAUACCUGACUCCUAAUAUUGUUAGUGCAUUACUCUUGUGAUUGAUUAGUGUAUUUGUAUAUUUUAUAAUUUGUCAAUUUUUAUAUUUAUUAUGAAGGAAAAAUAUAAGAAAAUGUGGAGUUUUUGGAGGCAAAAGUUGUUAUGGCAAGUAUUGACAUGAUUUCCUAAUCUUACUUACUUCCUAGAAUGCCUAAAUCAUAUCAUGCAGGAAGAGAAAAAGAAAAAGAAAAGAA